Molecule: long non-coding RNA, 398 nt
Organism: Triticum aestivum (bread wheat)
Lineage: Eukaryota; Viridiplantae; Streptophyta; Magnoliopsida; Poales; Poaceae
Exons: 3
Source: RefSeq, a predicted model, not a curated record
CAGGAAACGGAAGUGGACUGUGUGCCAGAGAGCAGUUUAUCUUUGCUUGUCAACUCUAUAUUAGUUGACAGACGAUCGCCGAGGCUCUCUGUCGCAGCUGUGUGCCUGAUCAACAAGCCAAAUAUUUCGAGUCUGCUUGCUAACGUGUCUGAAGAGAAGAUAUCAGUGAUGGUGGACCUGCUGAUGGUGGACCAAUGCGGUGAGACAUACCUGUUCCAUAUAACCAUGUGAAAGUAGUAAAUCCUUUCACCUUGAUGAGGCACUGUGAUCAACGGCCUAGCGCAAGCAUGCCAUAGCUCCUUGUAUAAUGUGUCGCUAGAACUCCCUGCACAAAAGAUUCAUUAUGUGAACUAGGCAUAAAAUUCAAGGGCCUUUCACCUUAAUAUAUAAUGGCAGAU